This 1522-nucleotide ribosomal RNA is filed under the name Escherichia coli. Its description in RNAcentral is "bacterial SSU rRNA". It matches the Rfam family "Bacterial small subunit ribosomal RNA". Lineage: Bacteria; Pseudomonadati; Pseudomonadota; Gammaproteobacteria; Enterobacterales; Enterobacteriaceae. The record is from RNAcentral. RNAcentral also lists the same sequence under 1 other name.
AGAGUUUGAUCAUGGCUCAGAUUGAACGCUGGCGGCAGGCCUAACACAUGCAAGUCGAACGGUAACAGAAAGCAGCUUGCUGCUUUGCUGACGAGUGGCGGACGGGUGAGUAAUGUCUGGGAAACUGCCUGAUGGAGGGGGAUAACUACUGGAAACGGUAGCUAAUACCGCAUAAUGUCGCAAGACCAAAGAGGGGGACCUUCGGGCCUCUUGCCAUCGGAUGUGCCCAGAUGGGAUUAGCUUGUUGGUGGGGUAACGGCUCACCAAGGCGACGAUCCCUAGCUGGUCUGAGAGGAUGACCAGCCACACUGGAACUGAGACACGGUCCAGACUCCUACGGGAGGCAGCAGUGGGGAAUAUUGCACAAUGGGCGCAAGCCUGAUGCAGCCAUGCCGCGUGUAUGAAGAAGGCCUUCGGGUUGUAAAGUACUUUCAGCGGGGAGGAAGGGAGUAAAGUUAAUACCUUUGCUCAUUGACGUUACCCGCAGAAGAAGCACCGGCUAACUCCGUGCCAGCAGCCGCGGUAAUACGGAGGGUGCAAGCGUUAAUCGGAAUUACUGGGCGUAAAGCGCACGCAGGCGGUUUGUUAAGUCAGAUGUGAAAUCCCCGGGCUCAACCUGGGAACUGCAUCUGAUACUGGCAAGCUUGAGUCUCGUAGAGGGGGGUAGAAUUCCAGGUGUAGCGGUGAAAUGCGUAGAGAUCUGGAGGAAUACCGGUGGCGAAGGCGGCCCCCUGGACGAAGACUGACGCUCAGGUGCGAAAGCGUGGGGAGCAAACAGGAUUAGAUACCCUGGUAGUCCACGCCGUAAACGAUGUCGACUUGGAGGUUGUGCCCUUGAGGCGUGGCUUCCGGAGCUAACGCGUUAAGUCGACCGCCUGGGGAGUACGGCCGCAAGGUUAAAACUCAAAUGAAUUGACGGGGGCCCGCACAAGCGGUGGAGCAUGUGGUUUAAUUCGAUGCAACGCGAAGAACCUUACCUGGUCUUGACAUCCACGGAAGUUUUCAGAGAUGAGAAUGUGCCUUCGGGAACCGUGAGACAGGUGCUGCAUGGCUGUCGUCAGCUCGUGUUGUGAAAUGUUGGGUUAAGUCCCGCAACGAGCGCAACCCUUAUCCUUUGUUGCCAGCGGUCCGGCCGGGAACUCAAAGGAGACUGCCAGUGAUAAACUGGAGGAAGGUGGGGAUGACGUCAAGUCAUCAUGGCCCUUACGACCAGGGCUACACACGUGCUACAAUGGCGCAUACAAAGAGAAGCGACCUCGCGAGAGCAAGCGGACCUCAUAAAGUGCGUCGUAGUCCGGAUUGGAGUCUGCAACUCGACUCCAUGAAGUCGGAAUCGCUAGUAAUCGUGGAUCAGAAUGCCACGGUGAAUACGUUCCCGGGCCUUGUACACACCGCCCGUCACACCAUGGGAGUGGGUUGCAAAAGAAGUAGGUAGCUUAACCUUCGGGAGGGCGCUUACCACUUUGUGAUUCAUGACUGGGGUGAAGUCGUAACAAGGUAACCGUAGGGGAACCUGCGGUUG